This 253-nucleotide ribosomal RNA is filed under the name uncultured bacterium. RNAcentral describes it as "partial 16S ribosomal RNA". It matches the Rfam family "Bacterial small subunit ribosomal RNA", at positions 524 to 776 of the family's 1533-position model. The record is from RNAcentral.
UACGGAGGGUGCGAGCGUUGUCCGGAAUCAUUGGGCGUAAAGGGUAGGUAGGUGGUCUCAUUUGUCUGGGGUGAAAGCCCAGGGCUUAACCCUGGAAGUGCCCCGGAAACGGUGAGACUGGAGUACUGGAGAGGGUCGUGGAAUUCCCGGUGUAGCGGUGAAAUGCGUAGAGAUCGGGAGGAACACCAGAGGCGAAGGCGGCCUGCUGGGCAGUAGCUGACGCUGAUGCGCGACAGCGUGGGGAGCAAACAGG